AGAUUCUGAUUCAUUGGUAGGUCUGCGUCAGGACCCAGAUAUUGGCCUUUUAUAUGAAAACCUCAGGUGAAUCUGAUCCACGGCCCACAAUUUGAGAAACAUCACUUUAAGAAAUAAGAAAUCAGAGUUCUUCUGAAGAGACCAUAGAAGGACCAGAGGCAGAACACUUUAUGGAGAUCACACUUCUCUGGGAGCCUCCCUACAAUGAGAAUCUUGACCUCUAGGUCUAUGAUGAUUGUUUUUAAAUUGGAGCAUCCCCAAAAGAAGGUCUUACGGGUCCUCUCUCCCGAACUCCAAGUCAUUACAUUUAGCCUUGAGGCUGGAGU
Miniopterus natalensis is the source of this 326-nucleotide long non-coding RNA. RefSeq lists it as uncharacterized. The record is from RefSeq and is a predicted model, not a curated record. Lineage: Eukaryota; Metazoa; Chordata; Mammalia; Chiroptera; Miniopteridae.